AAGGCAGCCGCCGCAGGCUAACGGGAGCCAGGAAGAGGAGCAGACGGCUGUGCGGCCAGGACAGGACCACAGCUGCCCACCGCACAGACAGCACCCCAGGGGCUAGGGGAGCUUUGGGGGAGGUCGCACACUCCCCUUUCCACAGCCCAGAGAUAAGAUCUACCGCCCAUCUCGGAAAGCCUCCAAAGGCGAGAUUAAUUGGACAGCCCAACACGAGUCGCAUCGUUAAAACAACAGCCCAGGUUGUAAAGUUGCGUAGCACAAGGAGUGUAAUUACUCUGCCCGCCAGAGGCCAGCAGAACUGAUGGGAGGGGAGGGGUUACAGCGGAGGUGAUCCUUACUGUCGUCCAUCCAGUCACCUGGCGCCUCUGCAGACUUGCCUCCGGAGGCGGAGGCGGAACUUCGCAUGCCCCAAUCCCCACCGGACGCAAAGGGACUCAGCCGAGGCCAGAAAGCAGGGACUUGCUUCGGAGAACAUCCAGGACUGCUG
Molecule: long non-coding RNA, 490 nt
Organism: Ochotona princeps (American pika)
Lineage: Eukaryota; Metazoa; Chordata; Mammalia; Lagomorpha; Ochotonidae
Exons: 3
Source: RefSeq, a predicted model, not a curated record